GAUGAACGCUGGCGGCGUGCCUAAUACAUGCAAGUCGAGCGAACGGACGAGAAGCUUGCUUUUCUGAUGUUAGCGGCGGACGGGUGAGUAACACGUGGAUAACCUACCUAUAAGACUGGGAUAACUUCGGGAAACCGGAGCUAGUACCGGAUAAUAUUUUGAACCGCAUGGUUCAUAAGUGAAAGACGGUCUUGCUGUCACUUAUAGAUGGAUCCGCGCUGCAUUAGCUAGUUGGUAAGGUAACGGCUUACCAAGGCAACGAUGCAUAGCCGACCUGAGAGGGUGAUCGGCCACACUGGAACUGAGACACGGUCCAGACUCCUACGGGAGGCAGCAGUAGGGAAUCUUCCGCAAUGGGCGAAAGCCUGACGGAGCAACGCCGCGUGAGUGAUGAAGGUCUUCGGAUCGUAAAACUCUGUUAUUAGGGAAGAACAUAUGUGUAAGUAACUGUGCACAUCUUGACGGUACCUAAUCAGAAAGCCACGGCUAACUACGUG
RNAcentral lists this ribosomal RNA (497 nucleotides) under uncultured bacterium. Its description in RNAcentral is "partial 16S ribosomal RNA". It matches the Rfam family "Bacterial small subunit ribosomal RNA", at positions 28 to 507 of the family's 1533-position model. The record is from RNAcentral.